RNAcentral lists this long non-coding RNA (3494 nucleotides) under Phaseolus vulgaris (common bean). RNAcentral's name for it is "long non-coding RNA (PVUL_LNC004074)". The record is from RNAcentral. Lineage: Eukaryota; Viridiplantae; Streptophyta; Magnoliopsida; Fabales; Fabaceae.
CUAACGCAUCCUCGUUGCUGAGUUUGACUUUUUUUUUCUCUCUUUUGUGUGUUUUGGACCUUCUAGCUUUCUCCUUUCAGCAUAUAUCAUUCUUCUUUAGUCCAAAUCUUCAUUCUUCCCUAGAAACCUGCAAUUAACACCAAAGAAUAAAAUGUUCUUAUUCAAUUAAAGAUCAUAAUAAAUGUAAAAAUGUAUAAAUUCUUAAAUUAGAGAUUAUUUUAUUGAAGAAGCUUGGAAAGUGAAUAAAAACAAAAGUGACUGGAUGUAAUUCAAUAUGAGAUGAAAUCUUUGUAUAAUAAUCACACUUAUGACUUGGUAAAAUUGCAUAAGAGCAAAAGGACUUUAGAGAAUAAGUGAAUUUUCAGGGUGAAGUAAGGAAAUGUGCUACAUCUCUAUGGUACAAAGCUAAAUUAGUGGUGAAAGACUUUAGACAAUAAAAUGGUACCGAAUGGAGAAAUUAGUUUCACAUUAUUACUCUAUUUUAUGUUUUUCUUUCUCUAUUCUUUAAAUUUUGAAACCGUUAUUUCUCUGAUGUACGUUCUAAACACUUACUUUUACAUUUGAUUUAACUCUCUUGUAUUGAUAUAUUUGAUCUUAGUGGAAAUUGAUUGAAUGACUCAUGUUGAUAGAUUUUCACUUAAGUUGAGAGAAUUUUUGCAUUAUAAAUAUUGAUAUCUCCUUUGUCAUUUAUAUUUUUGGUCUUCGCAUAUGUUUAAAAUUUGAAGAAUUAUUUUCAAUGCAUAAUUUAAUAUUUUUUAUUAUUAAAUUGUUGUUUAGUGUAUAAGUUUUCACAUAAAUUAGUUGUUUCCAUAAUAACAUAAUAGGUUAAUUAUGUAAACCCAUUGAGCAUUUUAAAGAACUAUAAAGAUGUAAUUAUUUAAAAGUACAAAGGUUUUUUAAAAGAUUACUUCAAAAAUUAUAAUUAGUAUAUACUGUAACAUCUUCUGUUAGCCUUUUUUUCGUUAUCAAAUUUAAUUAUUUGAAUUUUGAUAUAAAUGUAUUUAAAACCGUGUAUUAAAUAAGUUGACAAGGUAUCAUGAUUUAUUUAAUAAAUAAUUCAAACUUUUCUUCCAAAUUUUAAUUUUAAAUGUUAGCCUUUUUCUCUCCUAAGAAAAGUAAUUAAAUUUGUUAGGUCAAUUUUAUCUUCAUUUAUUUUUAUCUCAAGCAAUAAAGUAUACAUAUAAAAAAAAAAGAUGUGAAUUAUGUUGGCUAAAGGGAUUGUGGUGGAAGAAAUAGUUGUAGAAGAAGUUAUAUAUGUCCUCAGUUUAGGCUAGGAGAAGUUAAACUAGAAUAAUUAAAUGUGUGUUAACUUUUUAUUGAUGGUAUGAUAAAAUAUGCUUAUGUAUCUUGGUAUGAUUAAUUAUUACUCAAUAAUUUACACUAUGCAACUCUUAGUCGACCUAUUGAGAGAUUGCAAACAACCCUUUCAAACUCGAAUUGUACAAGUUAAGAGAUAUUGAAAACCCACACCUAUACAUAUUGUUGGAGCAGGUUAGAAGAAUCAAAUAAGCUAUUUUUUAUAUACUGACUUUUAUUUUUUAAUAUUACCGUAAGAACAUUCGAGCAAGUGUUAGUCUUCUUACAUUUUAUAUUUUAUUUUCAUUUUCUAAACUAAUAUUUUAAAGGGAUCAGUUAACAACUCCAAGUAAUAUAUAUAAUUUAUCUCUGAUGUUUGAAAACUAAUUUUCUUAAAGAAGUGCUUAAUUAUGUAGAACAUUCCAUUCCUAUGCCUAUAUAAAAGUAAAAGCCGCAUCUUACCUUAUUGUUUGACUACACAUUUCUUCUCGAUUCUUUACAUUUUAGGAAGCAAGUUUUGAUAUCCAAAUGAGAUUAAUACAUCUAUAAUAGGCGAACGUCUGCUUCCAAAUCACAAAACAUUUUAUUUUUAGAAAGAGUCUAAAAGUGUAUCUCAAAAUUCAGUCAAAAUCGUAUGAAGGUAUGAGCCACAAAUUAAAAUGUACUUGAAGUAAUUAACAUCUGUUGAAGAUAACCAGAAAUUACAACUGGACAAAAUAUUUUUCAUUUGGUAUAAUAUGAGCCACCAAUUAAUAUGUAUUAGUAGUUUAUUAGAAUUAAUUUAGAAAAAAAUUGUUAGAUCAUACUAAACAAAAUAUCAAUUAAGUCAAUACCUUAAAAUUGUUCCAUUCUCUUCUCUCUCAUGUAUCAUGUUUUACCCCCACGUGGGUUUGCUGUUGGCUAUUCCUGCCAACUUUAACAUGUCUCCCCUUCCCAAUUGUGUCUCCUGAUAUUUCGAUUGUUGGAUAUGAGGCUCUCAUUAAUGAUCCAAGGGCAAACAUAUAUGUGUUUAAAGAUUUUAAUUUCCUUGCAUUUAUUAUAAAAUAAAUUUAAAUACUUUAUAUUAUUAACCUGAUUAUGAUAGAAAUAAAAAUAUCAUACACAUUAAAUUAAGAUGAAAUAAUAAUAUAAAAUAUAAAUUAAAUUAAAUUUUGUUAAUGUAAAAUAAUGUCAUAAUGUUAUUUAAUAAUUAAUUUAUAUUAGUUAUGUUAAAAAUUAUUGUUAAUUUUUUAUUAGUUGAUAAUGUAAAAGUAAUUAAAUUUUUAUUUUAAAUUGUAAAUAGAAAAACAUUUAUUACAAGACCUAAAAAAAUAGUUUCCGUUUUCUCAAAGAUGACAGGGUUGCUUGAAAAAGAAAAUUAUCCUCCUGAAUCCAUUGCGAUGGUUUUAGUAAGAAAUAAAAAUGUUAAAAAGCAUAGUGAUUGCAUCUAAUGUCCGUGACGGGCCCACGUCGGCACAGACACAACACGAUGACAACUACUACUCCGCAAUACAUAUCUAUUCUAAUAUUGUUGGUCUGAGCGAACCAGUUAUGUGGCCAAGAGAGAGCCACGUGUCCCGCAUUGAUUCGUCAUCACCUAGAUUUCCUCUCUGCGACCAGUGACUAAUAUAGAUAAUAGAAAAACCGCACCAAAAGAAAUCAACUUACUCACUCGUCUCCGCGUUUAGGUUGCUCUAAUUCUACUCCAUUCCACUUCUCAUUGGGAACAAGAGAGAGAGUAGUACCGUUAGAUUAGCGGCGUUUUUCAAAAGUGCUUUUUUCUGUUCAGACCAUGGGAAUUGAAAGAGGAGGCUUGAAGGGGUUCAGGAGCGGCUGGACCGUGCCGCCAAAGCCAUGUGACUCCUGCAAGUUGGCUUCGGCGGCGCUUUUCUGCCGCCCCGAUUCCGCUUUUCUCUGCAUCGCCUGCGACUCCAAGAUUCACUGUGCCAACAAGCUGGCAUCGCGCCACGAGCGCGUCUGGGUGUGCGAGGUCUGCGAGCAGGCCCCCGCGGCUGUCACGUGCAAGGCUGACGCCGCCGCCCUCUGCAUCACCUGCGACUCUGACAUCCACUCUGCCAACCCCCUCGCGCGCCGCCACGACCGCGUCCCUGUUGAGCCCUUCUACGACUCCGCCGACUCCAUCGUCAAGGCCUCCACCGCCGCCUCCUUCGGCUUCAUCGUCCCCUCCGACGACGCCACCGGAGCCUCCGAUGCCUUCG